This 473-nucleotide ribosomal RNA is filed under the name uncultured bacterium. RNAcentral describes it as "bacterial SSU rRNA". It matches the Rfam family "Bacterial small subunit ribosomal RNA", at positions 8 to 496 of the family's 1533-position model. The record is from RNAcentral.
AGAGUUUGAUCCUGGCUCAGAGUGAACGCUGGCGGCGUGCCUAAUACAUGCAAGUCGAACGAUGAAGCUUUUAGCUUGCUAGAAGUGGAUUAGUGGCGCACGGGUGAGUAAGGUAUAGUUAAUCUGCCCUACACAAGAGGACAACAGUUGGAAACGACUGCUAAUACUCUAUACUCCUGCUUAACACAAGUUGAGUAGGGAAAGUUUUUCGGUGUAGGAUGAGACUAUAUAGUAUCAGCUAGUUGGUAAGGUAAUGGCUUACCAAGGCUAUGACGAUUAACUGGUCUGAGAGGAUGAUCAGUCACACUGGAACUGAGACACGGUCCAGACUCCUACGGGAGGCAGCAGUAGGGAAUAUUGCGCAAUGGGGGAAACCCUGACGCAGCAACGCCGCGUGGAGGAUGACACUUUUCGGAGCGUAAACUCCUUUUCUUAGGGAAGAAUUCUGACGGUACCUAAGGAAUAAGCACCGG